CAUCUGGUCCUAAUAGUCAAGCCCAAACAAAGACAAACCAGCAUGUUUGGGCCCAAACUUAAAAGAGCCCUAAGACUUCAACUGUAGUUUUCUUCUCUUCCAAGAACCCUCUGAAACCCCCUUAUUAUUAGUCGAAUAUUCGUGCUUGAGGGGAUUGGAAUUUUUAGAUACUGAAAUUGAGUAUUGGGGUUUGUGAGAGAGAGAGUAAAUGGCUUUAACGAACUUGAUUCUGACAGUGGCCGGAGUUAGCGCAGUGAUUCUGCUGAUGAGGAGCGAUGUGAAGCAAUCGGCCUCAAUCUUCAAGCGAAACGUUCGUCAGAUCCGACACUGGCUCGAACAAGAGUCCUCCGCUGCCGCCAAGGAGAUGAAGAAUGCUAAACCCAAGGAGCUUGGGAAAGAUCUUCCAAAAGAGGACAAGCACUAGGUGUCUUGGACCGGACGUGGGAACUAUAUCAUAAAGCUUCUUGUUUUUCCAUUUUCUUUUGGUUUACCAAUCUAUCAUGUACAAAUUUUUGACCAAAACAAUUUUGGUUGGUGUUUUUAAGCGCACUAUAUAAUAUGCACUGAAAAAGGUGUUCCAGGAAA
Rhododendron vialii is the source of this 585-nucleotide long non-coding RNA. RefSeq lists it as uncharacterized. Lineage: Eukaryota; Viridiplantae; Streptophyta; Magnoliopsida; Ericales; Ericaceae. The record is from RefSeq and is a predicted model, not a curated record. The transcript is spliced from 2 exons.